CCCUCCCUGCUCGGUGCGUGAUGGGCUUUAUUUAAACCCACAUUUCUGAAACGGGAUGCCCCACUCAUGGUGCGGAUCGCAGGCCUCCCGACUCCCGAGGUCGGAAGUUGGAAGCGGAGAAACAUCAUGGAGGCAACCCACCUGCCAUUUCGUGCAGGUUUUAAAUGGGUCCACACGGCCAGAGCGGGGAGCUA
This 194-nucleotide non-coding RNA is filed under the name Pseudoflavonifractor capillosus. RNAcentral describes it as "6S RNA". It matches the Rfam family "6S / SsrS RNA". From Rfam's summary of the family: E. coli 6S RNA was the first non coding RNA to be sequenced, but its function was unknown until recently. It consists of 184 nucleotides that fold into an extended hairpin structure with a large single-stranded internal bulge. Lineage: Bacteria; Bacillati; Bacillota; Clostridia; Eubacteriales; Oscillospiraceae. RNAcentral also lists the same sequence under 2 other names. The record is from RNAcentral.